This 492-nucleotide ribosomal RNA is filed under the name uncultured bacterium. RNAcentral's name for it is "partial 16S ribosomal RNA". It matches the Rfam family "Bacterial small subunit ribosomal RNA", at positions 29 to 507 of the family's 1533-position model. The record is from RNAcentral.
AGUGAACGCUGGCGGUAGGCCUAACACAUGCAAGUCGAACGGCAGCACAGUAAGAGCUUGCUCUUACGGGUGGCGAGUGGCGGACGGGUGAGGAAUACAUCGGAAUCUACUUUUUCGUGGGGGAUAACGUAGGGAAACUUACGCUAAUACCGCAUACGACCUACGGGUGAAAGCAGGGGAUCUUCGGACCUUGCGCGAUUGAAUGAGCCGAUGUCGGAUUAGCUAGUUGGCGGGGUAAAGGCCCACCAAGGCGACGAUCCGUAGCUGGUCUGAGAGGAUGACUAGCCACACUGGAACGGAGACACGGACCAGACUACUACGGGAGGCAGCAGGGGGGAAUAUUGGACAAUGGGCGCAAGCCUGAUCCAGGCAUACCACGUGGGUGCAGAAGGCCUUCGGGUUGUAAAGACCUUUUGUUGGGAAAGAAAAGCAGCAGGUUAAUACCCCGCUGUUCUGACGGUACCCAAAGAAUAAGCACCGGCUAACUUCGUG